Molecule: transfer RNA, 68 nt
Filed under: Nephrotoma quadrifaria
Lineage: Eukaryota; Metazoa; Arthropoda; Insecta; Diptera; Tipulidae
Description: tRNA-Glu
Source: RNAcentral
AUUUAUAUAGUUUAACAUUAAAACCUUACACUUUCAUUGUAAUAAAAAAGAAUUUUCUUUUAUAAAUU